Molecule: ribosomal RNA, 2318 nt
Filed under: metagenome
Description: bacterial LSU rRNA
Rfam family: Bacterial large subunit ribosomal RNA
Source: RNAcentral
AGAGCGUAUGGUGGAUGCCUUGGCACUAAGAGCCGAUGAAAGACGUGAUAAGCUGCGAAAAGCUUCGGGGAGGAGCAAAUAUCCUACGAUCCGGAGAUAUCUGAAUGGGGAAACCCGGCGGAGCAACCCUCCGUCAUCUUAACGCGAAUCCAUAACGUUAAGAAGGGAACCCGGUGAACUGAAACAUCUAAGUAGCCGGAGGAAGAGAAAGAAACAUCGAUUCUGUGAGUAGCGGCGAGCGAAAGCGGAAGAGCCCAAACCGACCUGCGUGCAGGUCGGGGUUCGGACUGCAAAAUUGACGAGCGAGUCUAAUGGAAAGGUUUUGGGAAAGCCUGCCAGAGAGGGUGAAAGCCCCGUACAUGAAAGACGAGUGAGCAUGGCAGUAUCCAGAGUACCACGAGACACGAGAAACCUUGUGGGAAUGAGCGGGGACCACCCCGUAAGGCUAAAUACUCCUUAGUGACCGAUAGCGCAUAGUACUGUGAAGGAAAGGUGAAAAGGACCCCGGGAGGGGAGUGAAAGAGAACCUGAAACCAUAUGUUUACAAGCUGUGGAAGAGCUUUACAUGCUCAACCGCGUACUUUUUGUAGAACGGUCCGGCGAGUUGCGCUGGCUGGCGAGGUUAAGGACUGAAGGUCCGGAGCCGAAGGGAAACCAAGUCUGAAUAGGGCGAAUAUAGUCAGUCGGAGCAGACCCGAAACCGGGUGAUCUACCCAUGUCCAGGUUGAAGUUGCCGUAAAAGGCAAUGGAGGACCGAACGCACAUCCGUUGAAAAGGGUGGCGAUGAGGUGUGGGUAGGGGAGAAAUUCCAAUCGAACCCGGAGAUAGCUGGUUCUCCUCGAAAUAGCUUUAGGGCUAGCCUCAUACGAGUCUUGCGGAGGUAGAGCACUGAAUUUCCUAGGGGGCGUCAAAGCUUACCGAAGAAUAUCAAACUCCGAAUGCCGCGUAGAUGAUGUAUGGGAGUCAGACUAUACGAGAUAAGUUGGAUAGUCGAAAGGGAAAGAGCCCAGACCACCGGCUAAGGUCCCAAAAUGUGUGUUAAGUGGAAAAGGAUGUGGGAUUUCGAAGACAACCAGGAUGUUGGCUUAGAAGCAGCCAUACAUUAAAAGAGUGCGUAAUAGCUCACUGGUCGAGAGGUCCUGCGCCGAAAAUGUCCGGGGCUGAAACACACUACCGAAGCCGUGGAAUCAUCGAAUGAUGAUUGGUAGAGGAGCAUUCUUAAAGAGAAGAAGCUGUACUGUAAAGAGCAGUGGAUUUUUAAGAAGAGAGAAUGCCGGAAUGAGUAGCGAGAGGAAGGUGAGAAUCCUUCCGGCCGAAUAUCUAAGGUUUCCAGAGUAAAGCUGAUCUGCUCUGGGUAAGUCGGGGCCUAAGGCGAGGUCGAAAGACGUAGUCGAUGGAUAACAGGUUGAAAUUCCUGUACUAUGAUAUGACAGAACUGUGGGGACACGUGUGGAAAGCGGAAGCCGGGAAUGGAAAGACCGGUGCAAGCAAGGUAGGAGACUGGUUGGCAAAUCCGCCAGUUAAUCUGAAGAUGUGAUGCGUACUGAAAUAUAAGUAAGGAAGUCCGUGAGCCAUGCGUCAAGAAAAGCCGCUAUUGUUCAUAUCGUACCCGUACCGUAAACCGACACAGGUGGAUGAGGAGAGAAUCCUAAGGCCGACGGGAGAAGCAUUGUUAAGGAACUCGGCAAAAUGACCCCGUAACUUCGGGAGAAGGGGUGCCCUGUGAAAGCAGGGCCGCAGAGAAUAGGCUCAAGCAACUGUUUAGCAAAAACACAGGUCUAUGCGAAACCGAAAGGUGAGGUAUAUGGGCUGACGCCUGCCCGGUGCUGGAAGGUUAAGAGGAGAAGUCAGGCAACGAAGCUUCGAAUUUAAGCCCCAGUAAACGGCGGCCGUAACUAUAACGGUCCUAAGGUAGCGAAAUUCCUUGUCGGGUAAGUUCCGACCCGCACGAAAGGCGUAAUGAUUUGAGCACUGUCUCGACAAUGCAUCCGGUGAAAUUGAAGUACCAGUGAAGAUGCUGGUUACCUGCGCCAGGACGGAAAGACCCCAUGGAGCUUUACUCCAGCUUGAUACUGGGAUUCGAUACUGUAUGUACAGGAUAGGUGGGAGACGUUGAGCAUAGAACGCCAGUUUUAUGUGAGUCGCUGUUGGGAUACCACCCUUGCAGUAUUGGAUUUCUAACCUGCACCCAUGACCUGGGUGGGGGACAAUGUCUGGCGGGGAGUUUGACUGGGGCGGUCGCCUCCGAAAGGGUAUCGGAGGCGCUCAAAGGUUCCCUCAGAAUGGUUGGAAACCAUUCGAAGAGUGCAAAGGCAGAA